AGCGUGGUAUAGUGGUUUGAAUAUUGGACUAUGACACUGAAGACCAGGGUUCAAAUCCCUGUUCAGCCA
Molecule: non-coding RNA, 69 nt
Organism: Phrynosoma platyrhinos (Desert horned lizard)
Lineage: Eukaryota; Metazoa; Chordata; Lepidosauria; Squamata; Phrynosomatidae
Source: the annotation of a GenBank genome assembly